This 468-nucleotide ribosomal RNA is filed under the name uncultured bacterium. Its description in RNAcentral is "partial 16S ribosomal RNA". It matches the Rfam family "Bacterial small subunit ribosomal RNA", at positions 28 to 507 of the family's 1533-position model. The record is from RNAcentral.
GACGAACGCUGGCGGCGUGCUUAACACAUGCAAGUCGAACGGAAAGGCCCUGCUUUUGUGGGGUGCUCGAGUGGCGAACGGGUGAGUAACACGUGAGUAACCUGCCCUUGACUUUGGGAUAACUUCAGGAAACUGGGGCUAAUACCGGAUAGGAGCUCCUGCUGCAAGGUGGGGGUUGGAAAGUUUCGGCGGUUGGGGAUGGACUCGCGGCUUAUCAGCUUGUUGGUGGGGUAGUGGCUUACCAAGGCUUUGACGGGUAGCCGGCCUGAGAGGGUGACCGGGCACAUUGGGACUGAGAUACGGACCAGACUCCUACGGGAGGCAGCAGUGGGGAAUAUUGCACAAUGGGCGGAAGCCUGAUGCAGCAACGCCGCGUGCGGGAUGACGGCCUUCGGGUUGUAAACCGCUUUCGCCUGUGACGAAGCGUGAGUGACGGUAAUGGGUAAAGAAGCACCGGCUAACUACGUG